Seriola aureovittata is the source of this 526-nucleotide long non-coding RNA. RefSeq lists it as uncharacterized. The record is from RefSeq and is a predicted model, not a curated record. NCBI's taxonomy places the organism in Eukaryota, Metazoa, Chordata, Actinopteri, Carangiformes, Carangidae. The transcript is spliced from 3 exons.
UUUCUCUAAUUAAGUACUGCUUCACCUGCUGCUCCCGCUGCCGCCGCCGUCGCUGUCGCCGUUCAUAUGAAAAAUAAUUGGAAAGCUUGUCUAUGAAAAGUUUGAAUAGGUCACUUCGAACCGUCUUUGGCUCUUUGGAAGAUAUGAUUAGGUUUUCUUUUUAGUUUUUUCACGAUUUCAGUGCUGCUCCAGGUGUGUGUGUGUUUGUGCAAAACUUUUGGACCAUAAUUGCGCACUUCAGGCCGGAGUGUUUCUGUCCGGCAUGAGAUGUUUGAAGGCGAGGGAGGGUUUUCCUCUUUCCUCAGGAACCACUUCUUCACUUCAGUAAGUGCACCUGGCUGCCAACAGACAUGCUCAUCAGGGACAAGCUGUUCAAACAGGCCCUGAUACAAAGGAUAACAGCAUGUGUAUCAGGUCAUCUCCCUCCAGGGAGGCGUCGGCCGUGACAUGGACAGCCUUAAUGGUCCCGGCCAACGGGGAGUUGACCACGGUCUCCAUCUUCAUGGCAGAGAGGACACACAGCGGC